RNAcentral lists this ribosomal RNA (491 nucleotides) under uncultured bacterium. RNAcentral describes it as "partial 16S ribosomal RNA". It matches the Rfam family "Bacterial small subunit ribosomal RNA", at positions 29 to 507 of the family's 1533-position model. The record is from RNAcentral.
GUGAACGCUGGCGGUAGGCCUAACACAUGCAAGUCGAACGGCAGCACAGUAAGAGCUUGCUCUUACGGGUGGCGAGUGGCGGACGGGUGAGGAAUACAUCGGAAUCUACUUUUUCGUGGGGGAUAACGUAGGGAAACUUACGCUAAUACCGCAUACGACCUACGGGUGAAAGCAGGGGAUCUUCGGACCUUGCGCGAUUGAAUGAGCCGAUGUCGGAUUAGCUAGUUGGCGGGGUAAAGGCCCAUCAAGGCGACGAUCCGUAGCUGGUCUGAGAGGAUGAUCAGCCACACUGGAACUGAGACACGGUCCAGACUCCUACGGGAGGCAGCAGUGGGGAAUAUUGGACAAUGGGCGCAAGCCUGAUCCAGCCAUACCGCGUGGGUGAAGAAGGCCUUCGGGUUGUAAAGCCCUUUUGUUGGGAAAGAAAAGCAGCAGGUUAAUACCCCGCUGUUCUGACGGUACCCAAAGAAUAAGCACCGGCUAACUUCGUG